ACGGAGGGUGCAAGCGUUAUCCGGAUUCACUGGGUUUAAAGGGUGCGUAGGUGGGUUGGUAAGUCAGUGGUGAAAUCCCCGAGCUUAACUCGGGAACUGCCAUUGAUACUAUCAGUCUUGAAUACCGUGGAGGUCAGCGGAAUAUGUCAUGUAGUGGUGAAAUACUUAGAUAUGACACAGAACUCCGAUUGCGAAGGCAGCUCACUAAACUGUAACUGACGCUGAGGCACGAAAGCGUGGGGAUCAAACAGGA
This 253-nucleotide ribosomal RNA is filed under the name uncultured prokaryote. RNAcentral describes it as "partial 16S ribosomal RNA". It matches the Rfam family "Bacterial small subunit ribosomal RNA", at positions 525 to 777 of the family's 1533-position model. The record is from RNAcentral.